This 259-nucleotide non-coding RNA is filed under the name Hordeum vulgare subsp. vulgare (domesticated barley). Its description in RNAcentral is "Eukaryotic large subunit ribosomal RNA". It matches the Rfam family "Eukaryotic large subunit ribosomal RNA", at positions 675 to 953 of the family's 3401-position model. Lineage: Eukaryota; Viridiplantae; Streptophyta; Magnoliopsida; Poales; Poaceae. The record is from Rfam by way of RNAcentral.
AUAUUUUUCAUGCAAGUCGACGGAUUUUGAAAUCUAGGAUGCGGAAGGAAGCUGAUGAAUAGGAGACCCUGUUUAUCUGUGGCAAUAUAUAUCCUAUUAGAACUUCGAAUCAGCUUAUUUUGACUCAAAAGAUGAAGCUAUGCGUGAGUGAGACGAAGAUAGAAGAAACUAUGAUGGAGGCUUGAAGCGAUACUGACGUGCGAAUCAUUCAUCUGACUUGAGUAUAAGGCGAAAGACUAAUCAAACCAUUAAGUAAUUG